Molecule: non-coding RNA, 3365 nt
Organism: Pelobates cultripes (western spadefoot toad)
Lineage: Eukaryota; Metazoa; Chordata; Amphibia; Anura; Pelobatidae
Source: the annotation of a GenBank genome assembly
GUGUGAUAAAGUGGGCAUAUGGUGAGGCACUUAAACAAUGGAAACAGAUUGAGAAUUACUUGGAAGAUGUCCCUCUCUUGAAUCGAUCUUUGACUACCACCUGCCAGACGCAGAGAGCUGGUGAGUGUAUAACCUUGUGUUCGCACCGCUUUGCAAAUCUGUCAAUCCAAUGCCCAGAAAUAUAUAUUUUUUUGCCAUUCAUUAAUAAUCCCUCCUGCCUGGAUCCCAAUGGACUAUGCCCACAAAUAGGAGCCGCUAUACCAGCGGCUUAUGAUGUGGUUUCUGCUGUGAGUUUUUUUUAAAACUUUUUGCUCACUCUGCGGGGAAGAAGUACCCUUUUUGCAAUGAUUUAGAAAUUUUCGAAAAUACAUUUUCAGAAUUCCAUAACAGCACGUACUUCUCGUGAUCUGACUUUAUUUGAAUUUGUGUGCAAAACUCAGUGUACCUUACACUGAUACCCAGUGGCAAUAGAUUUGUGAAUUUUCACACAAUUGUUAAAUUUUUGGUAAAACUCAGAAAUCCUAUACAAAAUGCUGUUCUUAUUGUAGAACACAAACCAGUUCGUGGACUCAAUAGAUGCUAACCAGAAUAACCGCUGCUGAAACUGCUCUGCGGUGCCUGGCAUCUUUCUCCACAUCAAUUGGGACUGUCCAACCACAUGCCUCUUAUGGGACAAUAUUCACAAUAUUUUAAAGCAGUUCUCUGACUCCCCUUGACCUCUGGCCCCAAUGCCCAUGCUUCUCCACAACACUACUACUACCACCAUUUCCCACUAUAAGAACUCACUCAAGGUUCGUGUUUUGAAUGUUGCCAAACCAUUGAUUACCUUUUUCUGGAGACAACAAAUUAAGUUUGGGGUUCACCAAAAUAGAGAAGCUCUGCUUAGCUGAGGAAUCCCCUAUGAGUGUGGAUCAACAAACCUGUCCUGUGUGAAAUCAUUUGAUUGCUGGGAGGAUUCCAGCACCGAGAAGGUAACCCUGUUAUUGCAUCUAUUGUACUGCUAUAAGUAUGAUGAAAAUCAGUAUAUCCAUUCCAUAUAUAUCCAGAUACAGAGGUAAAGGGAAAGUGUCACCAUAGUACACCUCUGCCCGAGUGAUUUUAGCCUAUCCUGUGGGGCUCAGUUAAAUGUGAGUGUACCAAUAUUGAGUAAUAUCCUCUGUAUAGUACUGGAGAUUCUAGACAAUAUUAGUAUUUUUGUCAUUAUAGGACGUUACAACUUACCUAAACUAUAGGGUAAGUGACCACAUUUCUAGCGCUCCACUGUUUCACUGGGGUGGGUGUAUAUACCACACAGUGAAGAUUUUUUGGUUUUACUUGCAGUGAAUGUGAGGGACAUUCAGACAGAGGUAGUAACAGCUCACUUAUACAUUAAAACUUUUCACUGUCUAAGCGCCUGUAACACAAACUCAUCGUUUUUGCAUAUUACAUUUUUUACUGCUGUAGCACAAAACAAUUCAACAUCCAUUAUGUAAUGCAGAGUGUAUAGUGAAAUGUAACAGUGUCUGUGUUUCUGUAAGAAUGCAGUGUGGGUUUUGUAUGCAGUGUGUGCGUGUGUACAGUCGAUGCAGUGUGUGUAGCGGAUUAAGUGUCUAUGUGUAGUGAAUGCAUUUUGUGAAUAGUGGAUGCAAUGUCUGUGUUUGUCUGGUGGAUGCAUUGUAUCUAGGUAGUGCAUGCAGUAUGUGUGUAGAAUGUGUGUUUGUGCAGUGGGUGCAGUGUGUGUGUGUAGUGGAUUCCAUGUUUGUGUAGUGGAUGCAGUGUUUUUGUAGUAAAUACAGUGUGUGUGUGUGUAGUGGAUGCAGUGUGUGUAUUUGUGUAGUCGCUACAUGGUGUGAAUUUGUGUAGUGCAAGCUGUGUGUGUGUAUUUGUGUAGUGGGUGCAGUGUUUGUGUAGUGGAUGCAGUGUGUGUGUAGUGCAUGUAGUGUGUGCAUUUGUAAAGUGAUUGCAGUGUGUGUAGCAGAUGUACUGUGUUUGUAGUGGAUGUAGUGUGUGUGUUUGUGUAGUGGAUGCAGUGUGUGGUGUAGUGUGUGUAUUUGUGCAGUGGAUGCAGUAUUUGUAUAGUGUAUGUAGAAUGUGUGCUUGUGCAGUGUAUGUGUGUAGUGGAUGCUGUGUGUGAAGUGCAUGUAGUGUGGUUUUUUGGUAUUGAGUGUGUGUGUGUGACCUGUUUUUGUUUUGUUUGUUUAACUAAGGUCAUUCCAGUCUCCCUGCCUCUUACCGGUGGUCAAGAAGAGGCGAACACUGGAUUCCCUGGUGGUCCAGUGGUACACCUCGUUGUAUUGUAGUGGGUUGACCCGGGAGUCUUUUUACAUGUCCCGCAGCAUUUACACCUCUCUUCUCGUGAGCUGCGGGUUUCUAUGACAACACUCAGCGCAGCCUUCCCGCAGCAGGCCCACUCUCUAUUAUGUUAAACAGGGCACCGGGAUUUCAUACAUAUGUAGCGAUACUCGCUAUAUCUUUAUGCAAUACGGUGGCCAGGGCUCCUAGCAGCAGGUUAAAAUAUACAUGGGCAGUGGAACCACUCGGGCCAAUGGACGGGCUGAUUCAUACUACAUUGGAACCUGGGAACUCGAACGUUUGAGAACCGAAUCAACAUUUCCCAUAAAAAUUUAUGUAAAUUUGAUUAAUCCGUUCCAGACCCCCAAAAUUACUACAUUCUAACACAAAUUUUACAGUUUAAUAAUGCCUACAUGCAUAAAAUCAUAUAGGAAAAAAAUAAACACAAUGUACAGUAAAUGAAAUGAAAAUAUAAUUUCACUUUACCUGUAAUGAUGAGAGUUGAUGAAGUAAGUGGAAAAGAGAAGAUGUAUUAUUGUUUGGAUGGGGAUAGGUAACUGUUCUUCUGGCAUUUAAAAUGUGUCUAAAGUGUGUCUAAUUGAACAUGAUUUGUUCGGGUACCGAGGAUCGUUCACGUACCGAGACAUUUUUUACCUGAAAUUUUUGUUCGACUUCCGAAGUGUUUGAGAAAGGGACUGUUCGAGUUCUGAAGUUCCACUGUAUAUGCGAAGGUAGUUUUGACUUUCCUGGUUCAAAUGUGCUGUAAGGUGUUUUUUUUUUUUUUUCAUACCAGCAGGUUUCACUCUCAGACAACCACUUCUUGUGAACAAAUAAGUGUAACUGUUGAAGUUUGCAGAUUUAUGUUAUUUUGGUAUCUGAAUGUCUGAGAAGGAAUAGCUUGAGCACAAUAUUGUCAAUAAGAAUAAUAAAUAUAGAAAUGCUUAAUUUCUACCUUAAAAUCUGCAUUAAAAAUAAAGAUAUGCACGAACAAAACCAGUGGUUUCUUUAUUAACCCCUUAAGGACAGAGGUAAUUGUACAAGUUCUGAACCAAAACAAAACUUAGAAUUUUAACUAUAUGUCUGUUCAAUCAUAA